AACGAACGCUGGCGGCAUGCCUAACACAUGCAAGUCGAACGGGACCUUCGGGUCUAGUGGGGCAGCGGUGGGUAAAGCGGGGGGAUCUACCCUCGGGUUCGCCAUAACUCAGAGGAAUGUGAGCUAAUACCGGAUGAUGUCGUACGUCCAAAGAGUUAUCGCCUGAGGGUGAGCCUGCUUAGGAUUCGGUAGUUGGUGAGGUAAAGGCUCACCAAGCCGACGAUCCUUAGCUGGUCUGAGAGGAUGAGCAGCCACACUGGUGCUGAGACACGGCCGAGACUCCUACGGAAGGGAGCAGUGGGGAAUAUAGGACAAUGGGGUAUGGCAUGAUCGCGCAAUGCCUGGUGAGUGAUGAAGGCCGGAGGGUAGUAAAGUUCUUUUACACGAGAUGUUAAUGACGGUACCGGGAGAAUAAGCUCCGGCUAACUACGUG
RNAcentral lists this ribosomal RNA (433 nucleotides) under uncultured bacterium. Its description in RNAcentral is "partial 16S ribosomal RNA". It matches the Rfam family "Bacterial small subunit ribosomal RNA", at positions 29 to 507 of the family's 1533-position model. The record is from RNAcentral.